GCAGCCGCGGUAAUACGUAGGGGGCGAGCGUUAUCCGGAUUUAUUGGGUGUAAAGCGUGUGUAGGCGGUUUAUUAAGUUUAAGAUUAAAGCCCGGAGCUCAACUCCGGUUCGUCUUAAAAACUGGUAGACUUGAGUAUGGUAGAGGCAAAUGGAAUUUCUAGUGUAGCGGUGAAAUGCGUAGAUAUUAGAAGGAACACCAGUGGCGAAGGCGAUUUGCUGGGCCAUUACUGACGCUGAGACACGAAAGCGUGGGGAGCAAAUAGGAUUAGAUACCCC
This 277-nucleotide ribosomal RNA is filed under the name uncultured Bacillus sp. RNAcentral describes it as "partial 16S ribosomal RNA". It matches the Rfam family "Bacterial small subunit ribosomal RNA", at positions 511 to 788 of the family's 1533-position model. The record is from RNAcentral. Lineage: Bacteria; Bacillati; Bacillota; Bacilli; Caryophanales; Bacillaceae.